CAGUUUUCAAAGUGACUGGUUGCUUGUCAAUGCGUAUAACCAUUUUUGAACCAAGCCAUCGUGAGUGAACUGAUUUAAAACGCCCUAACAUACGAUUGCAUUUCGAAAGGUCAAUCCUGUCGCUUUCUGUUAUUCGUUUUAUAACAAAACCUCUAACAGCGUCGUCUUUCCGCUUGCUCUCCUCCCAAACUUCGAGGAGCGCUGCAUGAAAAAACUCAUAAACACCUGCAACAUGUAUUGUUUUUUCGAAAAGGGGCAAAAACGGGCAAAAACCAUUACUUAAAAUUGAUUUUAUAGUAAUUUGUUAAAAACAUUAAUAUAUUACCUUCAAGGCACUUGGAGGCACUUAAAAGAAAACUUUAACAGAACACGUGUACUUUUGUUAGAAUAACCUAGAACAACACACUUGCAACACAUUGGACAAAACAACACAAACAUGUAUAAAUAUAGUAAAAAGUUUAGAAAUUAUAAAUUUACAUACCUUGACCUUUAUUUUCCAUUAAGACACUUUUAGCUUUGAAUGUUCGCUUUAAUUAAAUCACUAGCUGCAAGGUAUGAAAAUUUUCCCGCGUUUUUUAGCCAAAACAUAACGACACUGAACAGCUGACUUUAAAAGCGCGCAGAAGAUUAGGGGCAUUCCGAAAAAAUCUUUCCAAAAUUUUUUUUAUAUCAUUUCAGUAUUAUAGAAACCAAAAAAUUAAACAAAAAAAAAUUAUUUCACAAAAAAAAUAUCAUUUAUGCCAAAAAUUUGGGCUUUUGGACCAUAGUGCAUGCGAAGUCAUAAAAAUUAUAAAAGAGCAGCUACAACCGAAAAAAUCUCAAGGCUGCGAUCUAAUAAUUCCAAAAAUGGUUAUAGAACUCACACUAUGCGCUGUUGGUACCAUAUGCCAGCAGUUCAACGCGAUGACAAGACUCAAUCAUCAUAAUGAUACCAAAACCAGGGAAAGACCACACGCUCACCUUCUCAAACAGACCGAUAAGUUUAAUUACAUGUCUAUCAAAACUCUUUGAAAAAUGCCUUCUAACCCGUAUCAUACCAUACUUUAGAAGACAUAAUAGUAUUUCAGCACAUCAACUCGGCUUUUGCGAAAAACACGGAACUAUCGAACAGGUGAACCGGCAUUACAUCAGAAAUUCGAAGUGCAUUGGAAAAUAGGGUAUACAGCAAUGCGGUAUUUCUGGACUUCUCUUAAGCAUUUGACAGAGUAUGGCUUGACUUCCGAAUGCAUAAAAUCAAAGGAAUGGUCCCUAAUAACACGCAUAAACUCUUGAAGUCAUAUCUUUCUAACAGGAUAUUGGCUGUAUUGUGCUCCGUCCAACUUUAUAUCUACUCUACACUUCUGAUAUUCCGACGAGCAGACAACUGACUAUAACUACGUUUGCCGAUGAUACCGCGAUGCUCAGCAGAUAUAAAUGUCAACAACAAGCGUCAGCGCAACUUGCGGCCCAUCUAGAUGUAGUACAGAAAUGGCUCUCAGACUGGCGUAUAAAAGUAAAUGAGCAAAAAUGUAAACAAGUAAUCUUUACCUUAAAUAGACAAAAUGGCCCAAACCUUACAUAAACCUCCUCAUUAAAGCAUUAACAUUGGUAUGUAGCCGUUCUCGCCUUCGUCGUAGCGACCGUCCCAUCCAGCGAUAAUUAUUAGGACAGUCUAACAUAAAUACAGUUUAACAAACUGUUAGAAUAAUGUAGUACUUUAAGAUUUUAACACAUUUUGUUAGUCUCGUAAAAGAAGAUUCAAAAUAAAA
Drosophila biarmipes is the source of this 1748-nucleotide long non-coding RNA. RefSeq lists it as uncharacterized. The record is from RefSeq and is a predicted model, not a curated record. Lineage: Eukaryota; Metazoa; Arthropoda; Insecta; Diptera; Drosophilidae. The transcript is spliced from 3 exons.